UGUUCAUUUUACCUAUUAAACUUAUCUUUGUGGCUUUUCUGAAGGGUGAAAUUGGACCUCCUGGUCCACCUGGGUGUACAUCAACAGGAGAAUUCGUUGGUUCAAUAGAUGAAAUUCUAAAUGAACACAAGGGAAUGAAAGGAAACAAAGGAAUGAUAGGAGAACCUGGAUUUCCAGGUUUUCCUACACAAGAAGCAGAAAAGGGAGAAGAAGGAAUAACUGGCUUUCCAGGACAAAGAGGUUUGCCAGGAAUCAAUGGCCUAAAAGGAGCUGAAGGGG
This 279-nucleotide long non-coding RNA is filed under the name Notechis scutatus (mainland tiger snake). RNAcentral's name for it is "lncRNA (ENSNSUG00000000989.1)". Lineage: Eukaryota; Metazoa; Chordata; Lepidosauria; Squamata; Elapidae. The record is from RNAcentral.